Molecule: ribosomal RNA, 566 nt
Filed under: uncultured bacterium
Lineage: Bacteria
Description: partial 16S ribosomal RNA
Rfam family: Bacterial small subunit ribosomal RNA
Source: RNAcentral
UGGGGAAUCUUGCGCAAUGGGCGAAAGCCUGACGCAGCCAUGCCGCGUGAAUGAUGAAGGUCUUAGGAUUGUAAAAUUCUUUCACCGGGGACGAUAAUGACGGUACCCGGAGAAGAAGCCCCGGCUAACUUCGUGCCAGCAGCCGCGGUAAUACGAAGGGGGCUAGCGUUGCUCGGAAUUACUGGGCGUAAAGGGAGCGUAGGCGGACAUUUAAGUCAGGGGUGAAAUCCCGGGGCUCAACCUCGGAAUUGCCUUUGAUACUGGGUGUCUUGAGUGUGAGAGAGGUAUGUGGAACUCCGAGUGUAGAGGUGAAAUUCGUAGAUAUUCGGAAGAACACCAGUGGCGAAGGCGACAUACUGGCUCAUUACUGACGCUGAGGCUCGAAAGCGUGGGGGAGCAAACAGGAUUAGAUACCCUGGUAGUCCACGCCGUAAACGAUGAUUGCUAGUUGUCGGGGAAUGCAUGCAUUUCGGUGACGCAGCUAACGCAUUAAGCAAUCCGCCUGGGGAGUACGGUCGCAAGAUUAAAACCUCAAAGGAAUUGACGGGGGUCAUAGCUGUUUCCUG